GCCAAUACGGGCAUCUUAAAGCCGAUAUUUAUCCUGUAAAUCCUCCAAAAAGGAAACAUGUACCUAAAUUAGA
This 73-nucleotide small RNA is filed under the name Staphylococcus aureus. RNAcentral describes it as "HMPRFS0000_1530". The record is from RNAcentral. Lineage: Bacteria; Bacillati; Bacillota; Bacilli; Caryophanales; Staphylococcaceae.